RNAcentral lists this ribosomal RNA (238 nucleotides) under uncultured bacterium. Its description in RNAcentral is "partial 16S ribosomal RNA". It matches the Rfam family "Bacterial small subunit ribosomal RNA", at positions 85 to 339 of the family's 1533-position model. The record is from RNAcentral.
AGUGCUGGGACCGGCAGACGGCUGAGUAACACGUUGGCACUUGCCCGAUACUCGAGGAUAGCUCGGAGAAAUCCGGAUUAAUACUCGAUAGUUCCCUUCGGGGUAAAGAUUUAUCGGUAUCGGAGAGGCCUGCGGCCUAUCAGUUUGUUGGUGAGGUAAAAGCUCACCAAGACAAUGACGGGUAGCUGGAUUGAGAGAUCGACCAGCCAGAAUGGGACUGAGACACGGCCCAUACUCC